UACGGGUGUGUCAAGCGUUGUUCGGAAUCACUGGGCAUAAAGGGCGUGUAGGCGGAUCGCUAAGUCAGCUGUGAAAUCCCACGGCCCAACUGUGGAACUGCAGUUGAUACUGGCGGUCUUGAGUUCGGAAGGGGAGAGCGGAACUCCUGGUGGAGCGGUGAAAUGCGUAGAUAUCAGGGGGAACAACGGAGGCGAAGGCGGCUCUCUAGUCCGAUACUGACGCUGAGGCGCGAAAGCCAGGGGAGCGAACGGGAUUAGAUACCCCCGUA
Molecule: ribosomal RNA, 269 nt
Filed under: uncultured prokaryote
Description: partial 16S ribosomal RNA
Rfam family: Bacterial small subunit ribosomal RNA
Source: RNAcentral